UCUCUCUCGGUUUCUCUGUCUCUCCCCGACCCGCACUCUCUCUCUCUCCUCGGAACUUCCAACUCCGACCACCACAAGGGACGGCACCGGUCCCAAUCAAACCGCAGUGAAGCCCCGACCUCAGCCCGGUCCAUUUCCCCGUCGGAAACCACGAAAAACAGCCGGAACUUCGACUAGUUUUAACCGAAUUUUUCCCUGCGUUGCACCGCCGCCUCUGCCACCCGUUCCAGGUAACCAAGGUGCUCUGACCGCACCUACUCAGCAGGCAGGACACCCUCAGGAUCAGGCAGUCUGGGACUACUUACAGUAGUUGACUGAGCUUCGUCGCUGAACCCGACCGUCUGUUCCCGACGCACGAGACCUUGUAGGAACUUUCUCUUGUUUUCAAUUCUGUUAACUUUCGUUCUGUUGUAACCGAAUUCCUUAGAUAUGCUCUGUUAUCACCAAUGUUCGGGUUUGUUUUUUUGGAGGCCGGAGGUUCUUGUAGUAAACUGUUUAAGUGUCUUGAAAGCUUGCUGCCUGUUGUUUGUGUAAAUGUAAAUUUUGUACAGGUUGAAGUUUUGGGAAUGUUAACUGUACAAGGGAGACUCUGCCAAAUUUUUGGUAGCACGUCUCGGUUUUAAUUAAGUGGGCCCGGCAUCAGGGUGAUGUCGGUAAAAAAGACGGGACUCGUUCCGGGUUCCGAGGAAUUUUCGGGGCGGGUCCUGUCAAGUGUACUACUCCGUUUAUGUUAAUUCACUCUGAUGUCUGGGGAC
Prunus persica (peach) is the source of this 755-nucleotide long non-coding RNA. RefSeq lists it as uncharacterized. NCBI's taxonomy places the organism in Eukaryota, Viridiplantae, Streptophyta, Magnoliopsida, Rosales, Rosaceae. The record is from RefSeq and is a predicted model, not a curated record. The transcript is spliced from 3 exons.